UCCGGAGGGGACUAGCGUUGUUCGGAAUUACUGGGCGUAAAGCGCGCGUAGGCGGAUUUGUAAGUCGGGGGUGAAAUCCCGGGGCUCAACCUCGGAACUGCCUUCGAUACUGCAAAUCUCGAGUCCGGAAGAGGUGAGUGGAAUUCCUAGUGUAGAGGUGAAAUUCGUAGAUAUUAGGAAGAACACCAGUGGCGAAGGCGGCUCACUGGUCCGGUACUGACGCUGAGGCGCGAAAGCGUGGGGAGAAAACAGG
This 253-nucleotide ribosomal RNA is filed under the name uncultured bacterium. RNAcentral's name for it is "partial 16S ribosomal RNA". It matches the Rfam family "Bacterial small subunit ribosomal RNA", at positions 524 to 776 of the family's 1533-position model. The record is from RNAcentral.